This 253-nucleotide ribosomal RNA is filed under the name uncultured bacterium. RNAcentral describes it as "partial 16S ribosomal RNA". It matches the Rfam family "Bacterial small subunit ribosomal RNA", at positions 524 to 776 of the family's 1533-position model. The record is from RNAcentral.
UACGAACUGUGCGACCGUUAUUCGGAAUCACUGGGCUUACAGGGUGCGUAGGCGGCUUAGCAAGUCAGGUGUGAAAGCCCCCGGCUCAACCGGGGAACUGCGCUUGAAACUGCUGAGCUCGAGUCAGCUAGAGGUACACGGAACUUCCAGUGGAGCGGUGAAAUGUGUUGAUAUUGGAAGGAACACCGGAGGCGAAAGCGGUGUACUGGGGCUGGUCUGACGCUGAGGCACGAAAGCCAGGGGAGCGAACGGG